AUGCUGCUCUUUGCACUUUCUCUCCUAGAGACAGUUUUAGGUGAAGUCUCAACACAGAACAUUAAGCCACUUGAGAGAAUAAAGCAUGUGUCAGAGGGUGAUCCUGUUACUCUGUCUUGCAGUUUCAGUACGAUUGGUGGUGAUUAUCUUCAGUGGUAUCGCCAGUAUCCCUCAUCUAGACCAGAAUUCCUCUUGUUGACGACUGAUUCUGAUCCUCGUCUAUCUGCUCACGUUCAUAAGAGUGUCAAGCGUGUGGAUCUGCUGAUCUCCUCUGCUGCAGUAUCAGACUCUGCACUGUACUACUGUGCCCUG
This is a non-coding RNA of Electrophorus electricus (electric eel), 312 nucleotides long. The record is from the annotation of a RefSeq genome assembly. Lineage: Eukaryota; Metazoa; Chordata; Actinopteri; Gymnotiformes; Gymnotidae.